Molecule: long non-coding RNA, 401 nt
Organism: Dendroctonus ponderosae (mountain pine beetle)
Lineage: Eukaryota; Metazoa; Arthropoda; Insecta; Coleoptera; Curculionidae
Exons: 2
Source: RefSeq, a predicted model, not a curated record
AUGACUUUAACAACGUCACAAAGUAAGUAAUUUUAUACUUUCUUGCAGUGUUAUGACUGUUUUCGUUUGGCUCGAAUAAACCUACGCACCGCAAGUUAUACAAUUAAACAAAACCCCUCCAAUUUAAUUAAAUAAAAUGUUUUAUCACUGCAGGUGUAUGUAGAAAUUACGUUUAUUCUUAUUUCUGCAGGGUGGUGUGUAAAAGUGUUUAAGACAGUUUAAAGGAGAAACUAAAGCAGAAAGUUAACCAGAAGAAAGAAAAUGUAAAACAGAAAACAUUAGAAGAAGCUAUUUUAAACCGGAAGGACUAUUUAUAAGUUGCACAAUGUUCACUUGCAAACUCGUGAAAUGCUUCUAGAAAGGAAACAGCUUGAAAAUAAUUAAAUCAUUUAUACCUAAAA